This 925-nucleotide ribosomal RNA is filed under the name uncultured Chloroflexota bacterium. RNAcentral describes it as "bacterial SSU rRNA". It matches the Rfam family "Bacterial small subunit ribosomal RNA", at positions 28 to 895 of the family's 1533-position model. Lineage: Bacteria; Bacillati; Chloroflexota. The record is from RNAcentral.
AAUGAACGCUAGUGGCGUGUUUUAUACAUGCAAGUCGAGCGGAGAUUAGCCUGCGGUCGAAGGAGAUUUGUCCGUAGUUUCUACGGAUGAUGAUCUUUUGGCUAAAGGCUAUUCUUAGCGGCGAACGGGUGAGUAACGCGUGGAUAAUCUACCUCUGAGUGGGGAAUAACAUUCCGAAAGGGAUGCUAAUACCGCAAAUGUUAUUCUACCUCGGUAGUAUAACCAAAGUUGGAAUCUUUGAUUCUUUCGCUCAGGGAUGAGUUCGCGUCCUAUUAGCUAGUUGGUGAGGUAAUGGCUCACCAAGGCGACGAUGGGCAGCCGGCCGGAGAGGGUGUACGGCCACACUGGGACUGAGACACGGCCCAGACUCCUAUGGGAGGCAGCAGUAGGGAAUCUUCCGCAAUGGGCGAAAGCCUGACGGAGCGACGCCACGUGGAUGACGAAGGCCUUCGGGUCGUAAAAUCCUGUCAGGGGGGACGAUGGUCGAUCUUCGGAUUGACUGACGGUACCCUCAGAGGAAGCUCCGGCCAACUACGUGCCAGCAGCCGCGGUAAUACGUAGGGAGCAAGCGUUAUUCGGAUUUACUGGGCGUAAAGAGUGCGUAGGCGGUUAUAUAAGUCAAUGGUGAAAUCUCCACUUUCAAGGUGGAAACUGCCUUUGAUACUGUAUGACUAGAGGGCAAGAGGGGGAAAUGGAACUCUGGGAGUAGCGGUGAAAUGCGUAGAUAUCCAGAGGAACGCCGGUAGCGAAGGCGAUUUCCUGGCUUGCAUCUGACGCUGAGGCACUAAAGCUAGGGUAGCGAUCGGGAUUAGAGACCCCGGUAGUCCUAGCCCUAAACGAUGGGUACUAAGUGUGGGGGGAGCAUUACCCUCCGUGCUGAAGCUAACACGUUAAGUACCCCGCCUGGGGAGACGGUCGCAAGGCU